Molecule: ribosomal RNA, 551 nt
Filed under: Woodworthia maculata (Raukawa gecko)
Lineage: Eukaryota; Metazoa; Chordata; Lepidosauria; Squamata; Diplodactylidae
Description: partial 16S ribosomal RNA
Rfam family: Bacterial large subunit ribosomal RNA
Source: RNAcentral
AAAAACAUAGCCUUUAGCCAAACAAGUAUUAAAGGUCUAGCCUGCCCAGUGAAUUAUUUCAACGGCCGCGGUAUCCUAACCGUGCAAAGGUAGCGUAAUCAUUUGUCUUCUAAAUAGAGACUUGUAUGAACGGCUAACUGAGGGUCCAACUGUCUCCUUAGACCAAUCAAUGAAACUGAUCUUUCAGUACAAAAGCUGAAAUAAACACAUAAGACGAGAAGACCCUGUGGAGCUUAAAACCUACACUAUAAACGCCCAUCCACCCCUAAAGGGACACCUCCCUCCCCAUAGUAAAAAGUUUUUAGUUGGGGCGACUUUGGAACAAAACAGAACUUCCAUGCCAGGGACCCCUCCCUAUAAAGGCUUACAUGCCAAAAUAAUACUCUUUUGACCCAGCCUGUCUGAUCAACGAACCAAGUUACCCCAGGGAUAACAGCGCCAUCCUCUUCAAGAGUUCCUAUCGACAAGAGGGUUUACGACCUCGAUGUUGGAUCAGGACACCCCGGUGGUGUAGCCGCUACCAAAGGUUCGUUUGUUCAACGAUUAACAGU